Pezoporus occidentalis (night parrot) is the source of this 1325-nucleotide RNA transcript. It is a transcript of the gene named MOB kinase activator 3B, with no coding region annotated. The transcript has 5 exons. The record is from RefSeq and is a predicted model, not a curated record. NCBI's taxonomy places the organism in Eukaryota, Metazoa, Chordata, Aves, Psittaciformes, Psittacidae.
GCGGGCAGCGGCGCAGAGCCGUCAAGAGGGCAGCGCCGCCAUUUCGGUCUCUAUUGCUGCUCCACGCCCGCCAGGGGGCGGCCUCCGCCGAGGGCCUCACCACGCGCCGGGGGCCGCGCGGCGGGAGCCCGGUACCGGACGAGUGGCAGCGCCGCUGGGGGUCGUCCUCCGCGGACAGCCGCGCCGUGCUGUCGUCUCCGUUCGGUGUCCGUUCCCUGUCCGUCCUCCGGGGAAGACACCUGGGCGGGCGGCGGCGCCCGGAGGGGUGGAGGGAUAUGAAGCCUUUCAGGAAGGCUUUCCAGAGGAAGAGCUAACAGACUGCUCUGAAGUCAAUACAAACUUCUGUGAAAAAGCAGGGUUUGAAGGACCUGUGUUAUAGAGCAACUGUUUUCAGGUACCUGCAUUAAAUCUCAGCCUUGCUUUUCUGCCAGCUGCUGCAGAGCAGAAGAUUAGCAGACAUGUCCACUGCACUCAAACAAGUCUUUAAUAAAGACAAGACUUUCCGCCCAAAACGCAAGUUUGAACCUGGAACCCAGAGGUUUGAACUUCACAAACGAGCACAGGCGUCUCUGAACUCAGGCGUGGACUUGAAAGCAGCUGUGCAGUUGCCUAGUGGAGAAGACCAAAAUGACUGGGUUGCUGUUCAUGUUGUUGACUUCUUCAAUAGGAUCAACCUCAUUUAUGGAACUAUCUGUGAAUUCUGCACAGAGAAGACCUGCCCAGUGAUGGCUGGAGGCCCUAAGUAUGAGUAUCGGUGGCAGGACGACAUGAAAUACAAGAAGCCCACAGCAUUGCCAGCACCCCAGUAUAUGAAUCUUCUUAUGGACUGGAUCGAGGUGCAAAUCAACAAUGAGGAUCUCUUUCCUACAAAUGUAGGUGUUCCCUUUCCGAAGAACUUCCUUCAGAUCUGCAAGAAGAUACUUUGCCGGCUUUUUCGGGUGUUUGUUCACGUCUACAUCCAUCACUUCGACCGCAUCAUCGUUAUGGGGGCUGAGGCUCACGUCAAUACUUGUUACAAGCAUUUUUAUUAUUUUGUGACAGAGUUCAAUCUCAUCGACCGCAAAGAAUUAGAGCCUUUGAUGCAGAGACAGUCAGCCACAGUAGCGAAUGGAUAGCAUUGGGGCUGGAAGUGGUGCAGUCAGUGGAGCUCAGUGUACAAAAAUGGUGAAGCUGGUAAUUGCCUCCAUGAGGAUGGAGUUUAUCUGCAGGAAAGAGAUGACAACCAGGAUGUGUCACUAAAAGGCUAUCCACUGAAGAAAAGCAAAGUCCAGUUUUCUUCUUACUGCAGAGUUCAAGAAUGUCACAGCCCUUGUGGACUGAGCCUG